Molecule: ribosomal RNA, 505 nt
Filed under: uncultured bacterium
Lineage: Bacteria
Description: partial 16S ribosomal RNA
Rfam family: Bacterial small subunit ribosomal RNA
Source: RNAcentral
GACGAACGCUGGCGGCGUGCCUAAUACAUGCAAGUAGAACGCACAGUUUAUACCGUAGCUUGCUACACCAUAAACUGUGAGUUGCGAACGGGUGAGUAACGCGUAGGUAACCUGCCUGGUAGCGGGGGAUAACUAUUGGAAACGAUAGCUAAUACCGCAUAAUAUUGAUUAUUGCAUGAUAAUUGAUUGAAAGAUGCUAUUGCAUCACUACCAGAUGGACCUGCGUUGUAUUAGCUAGUAGGUGAGGUAACGGCUCACCUAGGCGACGAUACAUAGCCGACCUGAGAGGGGGAUCGGCCACACUGGGACUGAGACACGGCCCAGACUCCUACGGGAGGCAGCAGUAGGGAAUCUUCGGCAAUGGACGAAAGUCUGACCGAGCAACGCCGCGUGAGUGAAGAAGGUUGUCGGAUCGUAAAGCUCGGUUGUAAGAGAAGAACGGGUGUGAGAGUGGAAAGUUCACACUGUGACGGUAGCUGACCAGAAAGGGACGGCUAACUACGUG